CAUUAUUAUUUUUUACUUGCAGACAAAUAUAAUUCUCCCCAUUCUACAGUGAGCAAAGUAAGAUCAUCACUUUUGUUUUAAUUGUAGAAUUGGAACCAACGGUGCAUACUGGGAAGCCGGCUUUCACCCACUUUCUGGCCUAUCUUCUCAAGGGGACCUGUUCUGCCACUGGGGACUUGGGCCUCUCGUUUUUGAUCUUUUCUUGGCACUGUUGACAUUCUGGUCCAGGCAAAAUCCUGCUUGUAGUGCAUUUCCUGGGCAUGGUAGGGUGUUUAGUAGCAUCCAGGGUCUUUCUACACUAGCCGUCAGCAAUAGCGUCUCACAGUGACCCUUGAAAACAUUUUAGACGUUUCUAGAUGUCCCCAGGAGGCCAACACUGCCCCCUAGUGGAGAUUCACCAAACUACCUUUUUUUUGGGGGGGGGGCGGGUACCCAGGAUUGAACCCAGGGGUGCUUAACUCCUGAGCCCCCUCCCCA
RNAcentral lists this long non-coding RNA (477 nucleotides) under Marmota monax (woodchuck). Lineage: Eukaryota; Metazoa; Chordata; Mammalia; Rodentia; Sciuridae. The record is from RNAcentral.